RNAcentral lists this ribosomal RNA (798 nucleotides) under uncultured bacterium. Its description in RNAcentral is "bacterial SSU rRNA". It matches the Rfam family "Bacterial small subunit ribosomal RNA", at positions 8 to 796 of the family's 1533-position model. The record is from RNAcentral.
AGAGUUUGAUCAUGGCUCAGGACGAACGCUGGCGGCGUGCCUAAUACAUGCAAGUCGAGCGGAUCUUACCUUCGGGUAAGGUUAGCGGCGGACGGGUGAGUAACACGUGGGUAACCUGCCCAUAAGACUGGGAUAACAUUCGGAAACGAAUGCUAAUACCGGAUACGCGAAACGGUCGCAUGAUCGGAUCGGGAAAGGCGGAGCAAUCUGCCACUUAUGGAUGGACCCGCGGCGCAUUAGCUAGUUGGUGGGGUAACGGCUCACCAAGGCGACGAUGCGUAGCCGACCUGAGAGGGUGAUCGGCCACACUGGGACUGAGACACGGCCCAGACUCCUACGGGAGGCAGCAGUAGGGAAUCUUCCGCAAUGGACGAAAGUCUGACGGAGCAACGCCGCGUGAGUGAUGAAGGUUUUCGGAUCGUAAAGCUCUGUUGCCAGGGAAGAACGCUUGCGAGAGUAACUGCUCGCAAGGUGACGGUACCUGAGAAGAAAGCCCCGGCUAACUACGUGCCAGCAGCCGCGGUAAUACGUAGGGGGCAAGCGUUGUCCGGAAUUAUUGGGCGUAAAGCGCGCGCAGGCGGCCUUGUAAGUCUGUCGUUUAAACUCGGAGCUCAACUUCGAGUCGCGAUGGAAACUGCAAAGCUUGAGUGCAGAAGAGGAAAGUGGAAUUCCACGUGUAGCGGUGAAAUGCGUAGAGAUGUGGAGGAACACCAGUGGCGAAGGCGACUUUCUGGGCUGUAACUGACGCUGAGGCGCGAAAGCGUGGGGAGCAAACAGGAUUAGAUACCCUAGUAGUCC